CUACGGGAGGCAGCAGUGGGGAAUAUUGCACAAUGGAGGAAACUCUGAUGCAGCAGCGCCGCGUGGAGGAUGACACUUUUCGGAGCGUAAACUCCUUUUAUAUAGGAAGAAGAUGACGGUACUAUAUGAAUAAGCGCCGGCUAACUCCGUGCCAGCAGCCGCGGUAAUACGGAGGGCGCAAGCGUUACUCGGAAUCACUGGGCGUAAAGAGCGUGUAGGCGGAUUAAAAAGUCAGAAGUGAAAUCCUAUAGCUUAACUAUAGAACUGCUUCUGAAACUCUUAAUCUAGAAUAUGGGAGAGGGAGAUGGAAUGUCGGGUGUAGGGGUAAAAUCCGUAGAGAUCAGAAGGAAGACCGAUUGCGAAGGCGAUCUACUAGAACAUUAUUGACGCUGAGACGCGAAAGCGUGGGGAGCAAACAGGAUUAGAUACCCGCGUAGUC
This 439-nucleotide ribosomal RNA is filed under the name uncultured bacterium. RNAcentral's name for it is "partial 16S ribosomal RNA". It matches the Rfam family "Bacterial small subunit ribosomal RNA", at positions 339 to 795 of the family's 1533-position model. The record is from RNAcentral.